GACGAACGCUGGCGGCGUGCUUAACACAUGCAAGUCGAGCGGUAAGGCCCUUUCGGGGGUACACGAGCGGCGAACGGGUGAGUAACACGUGGGUGACCUGCCCUCAGCUCUGGGAUAAGCCUGGGAAACCGGGUCUAAUACUGGAUAUGACUCCAUGACGCAUGUUGUGGGGUGGAAAGCCUUGUGCGGCUGAGGAUGGGCCCGCGGCCUAUCAGCUUGUUGGUGGGGNGAUGGCCUACCAAGGCGACGACGGGUAGCCGGCCUGAGAGGGCGACCGGCCACACUGGGACUGAGACACGGCCCAGACUCCUACGGGAGGCAGCAGUGGGGAAUCUUGCGCAAUGGGCGAAAGCCUGACGCAGCGACGCCGCGUGAGGGAUGACGGCCUG
Molecule: ribosomal RNA, 389 nt
Filed under: uncultured bacterium
Lineage: Bacteria
Description: bacterial SSU rRNA
Rfam family: Bacterial small subunit ribosomal RNA
Source: RNAcentral